RNAcentral lists this ribosomal RNA (446 nucleotides) under uncultured bacterium. Its description in RNAcentral is "partial 16S ribosomal RNA". It matches the Rfam family "Bacterial small subunit ribosomal RNA", at positions 338 to 795 of the family's 1533-position model. The record is from RNAcentral.
CCUACGGUAGGCAGCAGUCGAGAAUCAUUCACAAUGGGGGAAACCCUGAUGGUGCGACGCCGCGUGGGGGAAUGAAGGUCUUCGGAUUGUAAACCCCUGUCAUGUGGGAGCAAAUUAAAAAGAUAGUACCACAAGAGGAAGAGACGGCUAACUCUGUGCCAGCAGCCGCGGUAAUACAGAGGUCUCAAGCGUUGUUCGGAAUCACUGGGCGUAAAGCGUGCGUAGGCUGUUUCGUAAGUCGUGUGUGAAAGGCGCGGGCUCAACCCGCGGACGGCACAUGAUACUGCGAGACUAGAGUAAUGGAGGGGGAAACGGAAUUCUCGGUGUAGCAGUGAAAUGCGUAGAUAUCGAGAGGAACACUCGUGGCGAAGGCGGGUUCCUGGACAUUAACUGACGCUGAGGCACGAAGGCCAGGGGAGCGAAAGGGAUUAGAUACCCUAGUUGUC